RNAcentral lists this unclassified non-coding RNA (251 nucleotides) under soil metagenome. RNAcentral's name for it is "partial internal transcribed spacer 1". The record is from RNAcentral.
AAAAUAACAAUUUGCCACCCAUUGUAUGGUUGAGUCCGGCUUGUCCGCGGCCCAGCCCCAAAACAUUGGGAUUUUUUGGCCCCACAUCUUGUGCACUGUACCGUCUUUGGUGGUGGGGUGGGGCAUUGCAGUAUGCUUUGUCUCAUCUGUCAGCUUGGAUCGCAAGGUCCAUGCCGUGGACAAGCCACCGCAUGUAUUCAAACAUUUUCCUUUUCUUUUGUCUGACAUUUCAACUUGUAUUAAUAUACAAA